Molecule: non-coding RNA, 114 nt
Organism: Acanthosepion pharaonis
Lineage: Eukaryota; Metazoa; Mollusca; Cephalopoda; Sepiida; Sepiidae
Source: the annotation of a GenBank genome assembly
UACGGUUAUAUCAUUCUGAAACAACGGUUCUCGUAAGAUCACCAAAGUUAAGCAACGUCAAACUUGGUUAGUACCCAGAUAGGUGACUGCUUUGGAAUACCAGGUGCUGCAAGC